AGAGUUUGAUCAUGGCUCAGAUUGAACGCUGGCGGCAGGCCUAACACAUGCAAGUCGAACGGUAACAGGAAACAGCUUGCUUCUUUCGCUGACGAGUGGCGGACGGGUGAGUAAUGUCUGGGAAACUGCCUGAUGGAGGGGGAUAACUACUGGAAACGGUAGCUAAUACCGCAUAACGUCGCAAGACCAAAGAGGGGGACCUUCGGGCCUCUUGCCAUCGGAUGUGCCCAGAUGGGAUUAGCUAGUAGGUGGGGUAACGGCUCACCAAGGCGACGAUCCCUAGCUGGUCUGAGAGGAUGACCAGCCACACUGGAACUGAGACACGGUCCAGACUCCUACGGGAGGCAGCAGUGGGGAAUAUUGCACAAUGGGCGCAAGCCUGAUGCAGCCAUGCCGCGUGUAUGAAGAAGGCCUUCGGGUUGUAAAGUACUUUCAGCGGGGAGGAAGGGAGUAAAGUUAAUACCUUUGCUCAUUGACGUUACCCGCAGAAGAAGCACCGGCUAACUCCGUGCCAGCAGCCGCGGUAAUACGGAGGGUGCAAGCGUUAAUCGGAAUUACUGGGCGUAAAGCGCACGCAGGCGGUUUGUUAAGUCAGAUGUGAAAUCCCCGGGCUCAACCUGGGAACUGCAUCUGAUACUGGCAAGCUUGAGUCUCGUAGAGGGGGGUAGAAUUCCAGGUGUAGCGGUGAAAUGCGUAGAGAUCUGGAGGAAUACCGGUGGCGAAGGCGGCCCCCUGGACGAAGACUGACGCUCAGGUGCGAAAGCGUGGGGAGCAAACAGGAUUAGAUACCCUGGUAGUCCACGCCGUAAACGAUGUCGACUUGGAGGUUGUGCCCUUGAGGCGUGGCUUCCGGAGCUAACGCGUUAAGUCGACCGCCUGGGGAGUACGGCCGCAAGGUUAAAACUCAAAUGAAUUGACGGGGGCCCGCACAAGCGGUGGAGCAUGUGGUUUAAUUCGAUGCAACGCGAAGAACCUUACCUGGUCUUGACAUCCACAGAACUUUCCAGAGAUGGAUUGGUGCCUUCGGGAACUGUGAGACAGGUGCUGCAUGGCUGUCGUCAGCUCGUGUUGUGAAAUGUUGGGUUAAGUCCCGCAACGAGC
This 1101-nucleotide ribosomal RNA is filed under the name Escherichia coli 2-460-02_S4_C1. Its description in RNAcentral is "bacterial SSU rRNA". It matches the Rfam family "Bacterial small subunit ribosomal RNA", at positions 8 to 1097 of the family's 1533-position model. Lineage: Bacteria; Pseudomonadati; Pseudomonadota; Gammaproteobacteria; Enterobacterales; Enterobacteriaceae. The record is from RNAcentral.